This 645-nucleotide long non-coding RNA is filed under the name Brassica rapa (field mustard). Its description in RNAcentral is "long non-coding RNA (BRAP_LNC005490)". Lineage: Eukaryota; Viridiplantae; Streptophyta; Magnoliopsida; Brassicales; Brassicaceae. The record is from RNAcentral.
GCAAAGAUCACACAGAGAUUGUGGAGAUUAGAGGUAGCAAAACGAGACUUUGGUCUUGGGAUGGCUUUUCCUAUUUCUGGUAAAUACAAAAUAGCUGGUGCUCGUUGCCUCCACACACGUUACACGUAUGCUCAGCUUUUGUUCCCAUGUCAAACUCCGAAAUGCUACGUAUCUCUUCUUUUCCUUUUUGUUUGUUUAUUUUUGUUUUACCCGUUACAACGGGACGUAUUUCGAUUCUUUUCUUUAAAUGAAACGAAACUGAGUUCCAUAUGAGUAUGCAGGAGCGAAUCAAUAGAAGGGAGUAGGGGUGCACAUGCACCCAUGAUUUUUUUUUUUUUUAAAUGAAUAUUAUAUUUCUUUUGGUCACCCAUUAUUUUUUAGUCCAUUUAAUCGCUAAAAACAAUUAUGAAAAAUACACAAGUAAGAAAAAAAACUAAUUUAAAUAAAAGAAAAAGAACUUGAAGUCUUAAAACUCACUUACGUUUUCUUAUUUAAAAAAAAAACUCACUUAUAUUUUUUUUUUUAUUAAGAACCCUAACUUCUAAUAUAAUACAAUAUUUCUGUAAACUUUUAUUCAUUUGAAAUUCAGAUUGCAAUAAACUCAAAUUACGUAUUUAUAUGAUAUGGAUUUGUAAUUCAGUUUGC